GGCUGGGUUUUUUUUUUUAAUUAAAACUCCCAACUAGUUUUUUGCAUAUGUCUUUUUUUACGCGGCCGAGGCCAAAAUAUUGCUUGAAAAUAUGCAACAGGCAACACACAAACACAUGCAUAUAUAUAUAUGUAUAUAUAUAUGUAAAGGACGCACAUAGUUGGCCAUGGCAUUGACGUUGGCUGCAUUGACGCACAUAAUCCCCAGUUAAGCCACAGGUUCCAGCCCAGCUCCGCCCACUCUUAAGUUGAGUUUUUGGUUGAUUUCAAUCGGACUGUAUGCAUAAACAGGGACUGCUUGAGUGUGUGUGUGGGGGUGUGCGCGUGUGUGUGUGUGUGUGUGCCGGGCCAACAAACAGGCCUAGCAUAAACAAAACGCACACAUUGAAAAAUGAGCGACAAAGCGAGCGCAAGAGAGAGCGAGAAAGUGAGAGGUGGAGAAAGAGACAGAGAGAGAGAGAAAGGGAGAGAGAUAGGGAGAGAGGGCGCUAAAAAGAGCGCCAAUGUUAAAUGGAGCGUUGCAUAAAAGCUCGCUCAGCCGUGCAAUCAGACAAAGAGAAAGACACGCGAGCUUUUGUUACCUACACCACAAAAUAAAGGCACUUAAAUUCUAAAGGAAAAACAUUGUUGAAUUGAUUAAAAUAAUAACUAAAAUAUUAGCUUCGAUUUAAUUUUUUACCCAUUUUUAUAGUACGUAAAACAUAGUUGGUUAAAUUAACAAUCAUGCCGUUUUAAAUAAUCUUUAAUAUAGGGUAUUUUAAUAUGUAGAGCUUUAAACAAGACAUCUUCAGUCAAACUUGAGUGUAUAUAUAUUCUUGUUCAACGCGACAGUCUGACAUGAUGUAGUCAUAUUUGCUUACUUUCAGCCUUGAACCUAUUUUGAGUUUUGAGUCUUGAGUAAGGACCUUGUUGAAUAAUAAGGUUUAACUCUCAAAACGUUAAGAACUUAUGGCAAUACAUUAAUUUGAUAUAAAUUUAUUUUAAAUUCCCUUAUAAACUGUUUAUUUCAUAUGAAAACAUACUUCUUAAUGGGAUUAAUAAUCAUUAACUAUUUACUGCCACUAUUUAACCAAGUUUAAUUAGCUAAUGUCUUUAUUGUGUGUGCCGUUAAGUUGUUUAUACUAGUUGAUCCAAGUGCCCACUUUAAGUUUAUAAGUUUGCCCGAAGAGAGCAGCCGCAGAGCACUUGGGCGAGCAUAAAGUCUCUUACGUUUCGCCUAAAAAAAAAAAAAGAAAAUAAAAAAAUAAAAGCUCUCUUGUGCUUAUCAGUUGCUGCCACAGUCGCAGUCGCCGUUGCCGCCGCAGUUGCCGUCGCAGUUGCCGCUGUUGUCGCCGUCGCAGUCGCAGUCUCGCUGUUUGGUUGGGCUGCUGUGUGUUGAUUUUCAGUGGCCGCGUCGCCUCGGCCGAGUGUGUCAUGAAAAGCAUUUGGACGGCUUCCGUUUGGCAUCAGUUUGUUGGCAAUACUCAGACGCGUCGGCCGCAAUCCUUAGCCAGAUCGCAAGCAAUUUUCCAAACAGUGGGACACAACGUGCAGCGAGCGACGCAAUAAUACCAAAAAAAAAAAAACACAUACAAAUAAUAAUAAAUAGAAAAUCUGGCUAAAAGCUAAAGGCUGGAAAUGUUUAUAAAUUUUAAGCCAAAACAUUUGUGAUGUGAUACGAAAGACAAUUUGACGCGUUGUUCUUUUCGUUUUUUGAUUGAGUUUUCCCCCCGUUACCUACCCCUCAAUUGGUUCGUUUUUGAACUUGAUUUAUUUUGAUAUUAAUUUUUUUCAAUACGCAUUUACGAGCUGUUAAACACAUCGCGUUUUUCUGUGACUGUGUCUGUGUGUGUGAGUGUGCUUUUUGGGUGUAAAUUUAAUUUAUAUUUAUGUUUUGGAAUUUAUGUGGCCAAAGUUUAUGAUUUGUCCGACAAAUAAAAAGUAUAUCAACGCCCACGCCAAAAGCGAAAUAUCUACAAAAUACUCAUCUCGAACAUUUAUUUUGCAUUGGCCGUGAACGAAGCUGAAUUUGUUUUGAGUAGAUUUGUCAAAUGGUCUGCGAUCUCGCUCUCCAUCUCUUUCUACGCUCCAAGCGCAGCCGAACAGAACAUUUUUCCAAGAGUUUCUAAAAGAAAGACAAAAAAAA
Drosophila virilis is the source of this 2124-nucleotide non-coding RNA. NCBI's taxonomy places the organism in Eukaryota, Metazoa, Arthropoda, Insecta, Diptera, Drosophilidae. The record is from RefSeq and is a predicted model, not a curated record.